RNAcentral lists this ribosomal RNA (253 nucleotides) under uncultured bacterium. Its description in RNAcentral is "partial 16S ribosomal RNA". It matches the Rfam family "Bacterial small subunit ribosomal RNA", at positions 524 to 776 of the family's 1533-position model. The record is from RNAcentral.
UACGAAGGGGGCUAGCGUUGUUCGGAAUUACUGGGCGUAAAGCGUGCGCAGGCGGCUUCUCAAGUCAGGGGUGAAAGCCCCGGGCUUAACCUGGGAAUUGCAUUUGAUACUCUGGUGCUUGAGUACGGGAGAGGAGAGUGGAAUUCCCAGUGUAGAGGUGAAAUUCGUAGAUAUUGGGAAGAACACCGGUGGCGAAGGCGGCUCUCUGGACCGUAACUGACGCUGAGGCGCGAAAGCGUGGGGAGCAAACAGG